GAUGAACGCUAGCGAUAGGCUUAACACAUGCAAGUCGAGGGGCAGCAUGAUCUUAGCUUGCUAAGGUUGAUGGCGACCGGCGCACGGGUGCGUAACGCGUAUGCAACUUGCCUUACAGAGGGGGAUAACCCGUUGAAAGACGGACUAAAACCGCAUACACUUGUAUUAUUGCAUGAUAUUACAAGGAAAUAUUUAUAGCUGUAAGAUAGGCAUGCGUCCCAUUAGCUGGUUGGUGAGGUAACGGCUCACCAAGGCGACGAUGGGUAGGGGAACUGAGAGGUUUAUCCCCCACACUGGUACUGAGACACGGACCAGACUCCUACGGGAGGCAGCAGUGAGGAAUAUUGGUCAAUGGGCGAGAGCCUGAACCAGCCAAGUCGCGUGAAGGAAGACAGUCCUAAGGAUUGUAAACUUCUUUUAUACGGGAAUAACGGGCGAUACGAGUACUGCAUUGAAUGUACCGUAAGAAUAAGCAUCGGGCUAAGUCGUAACAAGG
Molecule: ribosomal RNA, 496 nt
Filed under: Porphyromonas gingivalis
Lineage: Bacteria; Pseudomonadati; Bacteroidota; Bacteroidia; Bacteroidales; Porphyromonadaceae
Description: bacterial SSU rRNA
Rfam family: Bacterial small subunit ribosomal RNA
Source: RNAcentral